Molecule: ribosomal RNA, 514 nt
Filed under: uncultured bacterium
Lineage: Bacteria
Description: bacterial SSU rRNA
Rfam family: Bacterial small subunit ribosomal RNA
Source: RNAcentral
AUUGAACGCUGGCGGCGUGCCUAACACAUGCAAGUCGAGCGAAGUUUAUUUAGCAGCGACUUCGGUCAAAGCUGAUUAAACUUAGCGGCGAACGGGUGAGUAACACGUAGGCAACCUGCCCAUGACACGGGGAUAGCUUCGGGAAACCGGAGGUAAUACCCGAUACCUUUACUUAUUGCAUGAUAAGUAAAGAAAGCGAAUAGCGGUCAUGGAUGGGCCUGCGUCCCAUUAGCUAGUUGGUGAGAUAACAGCCCACCAAGGCGACGAUGGGUAGCCGACCUGAGAGGGUGAUCGGCCACAUUGGAACUGAGACACGGUCCAAACUCCUACGGGAGGCAGCAGUGGGGAAUAUUGGACAAUGGGCGCAAGCCUGAUCCAGCCAUGCCGCGUGAGUGAAGAAGGCCCUCGGGUUGUAAAGCUCUUUUGUCCGGAAAGAAAAGCGCCGGGUUAAUACCCUGGUGUCCUGACGGUACCGGAAGAAUAAGCACCGGCUAACUUCGUGCCAGCAGCCGAC